UUCCAGCUGAUGAGUCCCACAUAGGACUAAACGCGCGUUCUGGAU
Schistosoma margrebowiei is the source of this 45-nucleotide non-coding RNA. The record is from Rfam. NCBI's taxonomy places the organism in Eukaryota, Metazoa, Platyhelminthes, Trematoda, Strigeidida, Schistosomatidae.